CCAAAGGCUCUUUUCAGAGCCACCCAUGUUUUCACGAUUGGAGAGU
Molecule: regulatory RNA element, 46 nt
Organism: Loxodonta africana (African savanna elephant)
Lineage: Eukaryota; Metazoa; Chordata; Mammalia; Proboscidea; Elephantidae
Rfam family: Histone 3' UTR stem-loop
About the family: The mRNAs of metazoan histone genes lack a poly-A tail. 3' end processing occurs at a site between a highly conserved stem-loop (modelled by this family) and a purine rich region around 20 nts downstream (the histone downstream element, or HDE). The stem-loop is bound by a 31 kDa stem-loop binding protein (SLBP - also termed the histone hairpin binding protein, or HBP).
Source: Rfam